Molecule: ribosomal RNA, 252 nt
Filed under: uncultured bacterium
Lineage: Bacteria
Description: partial 16S ribosomal RNA
Rfam family: Bacterial small subunit ribosomal RNA
Source: RNAcentral
UACGUAGGUGGCAAGCGUUGUCCGGAUUUACUGGGCGUAAAGAGCGCGCAGGCGGUCGGAUUAGUCGCGUGUGAAAGCCCCCGGCUCAACUGGGAGGGUCACGCGAUGCUGUUCGACUCGAAGGCAGGAGAGGGAAGUGGAAUUCCCGGUGUAGUGGUGAAAUGCGUAGAUAUCGGGAGGAACACCAGUGGCGAAGGCGACUUCCUGGCCUGUUCUUGACGCUGAGGCGCGAAAGCUAGGGUAGCAAACGGG